Molecule: unclassified non-coding RNA, 427 nt
Filed under: uncultured fungus
Lineage: Eukaryota; Fungi
Description: sequence contains ITS2
Rfam family: 5.8S ribosomal RNA (bases 1-154)
Source: RNAcentral
AACUUGUUACAACGGAUCACGUGGCUCUCGCGUCGAUUAAGAACGCAGCGAAAUGCGAUAAGUAAUGUGAAUUGCAGAAUUCAGUGAAUCAUCGAAUCUUUGAACGCACCUUGCGCCUCUUGGUAUUCCGAGGGGCACGCCUGUUUGAGGAUCGUGAAAUUCUCAACCCGACUCCUUUUGUGAAAGGGGAGGAGGGCUUGGACUUUGGAGGACUUUUGCCGGUCCCUUUGUUUGGGAUCGGCUCCUCUCGAAUGCAUUAGUGGAGCUUGCUCGCCCUCUGCCCUCGGUGUGAUAAUUCAUCGCCGACGUGUGAGGGAGGAAAGGCGCCGCUUCCAACGGUCUCGUCCGGAGACAAGCAUCUGAACCCUUUGAUCUCAAAUCAGGCGGGACUACCCGCUGAACUUAAGCAUAUCAAUAAGCGGAGGCU